This 468-nucleotide long non-coding RNA is filed under the name Dasypus novemcinctus (nine-banded armadillo). RNAcentral describes it as "lncRNA (ENSDNOG00000052404.1)". Lineage: Eukaryota; Metazoa; Chordata; Mammalia; Cingulata; Dasypodidae. The record is from RNAcentral.
GUGGAGCAGGGUGGCAGCCAUGGGAGGGAGGUGACCCCACAGCCAGGGCUCCUGCUCCUCCCUGCCCUCUGGGACUGAGAAGAACACACGGCACCAGGCCCCGGGCGUGAGCAACCAGCCACAAGCUGCUCUUCUCCCCGGCUUCUCCAUUCUGACCUUCUGGAGUUUAAGUCCAAUGUCAGGGUUGCACAAGGAGCAGAGAGGCUUGGAGAAAGCAGAAGUGAGAUGAGGACACAGACUUUCCUGAGGAGGCUCGAGCCUGUGGUCGGCUGGGGCAUGGGCUGUCGUGGGGACGUCUGUGCUGGUUAAAUGGCCCCGUGGGAGGGGGCCGCAGGGUUGCCCGCAGCUCUGUUCCUUCUCCAUGUCCCAGGCUGCCUGGCUCUGUGGGGCCCCAGCAAUGUGACAGGCACUGAGGGGGGAUCUCUGAGCGUGCAGUGUCACUACGAGGAGGAGUUCAAGGCGCUCAAC